Erigeron canadensis is the source of this 1759-nucleotide long non-coding RNA. RefSeq lists it as uncharacterized. The transcript has 2 exons. NCBI's taxonomy places the organism in Eukaryota, Viridiplantae, Streptophyta, Magnoliopsida, Asterales, Asteraceae. The record is from RefSeq and is a predicted model, not a curated record.
UAGUAAUAGUAUUGUAAUCAAAUUAAGUCUAUUUAAUUUUUCAUUGUAAUACUAUUCAAUGAAAUUCUUACAAGGUUAUAAAAAGUCAGCUACUUAAAAAGCAUGUGUAUACAUAAUAAGUCUAACUAUCUUAUUGACUAUAAAAAAUCAUAGGCAUGUAACAUGAAAGAUCUAAACCAUACGUACGUAAUACUAGCUAGAAUUGUCUUGUUUCUUCGUUAGUAGAAUUUUGUCAUAAAUCCAAAAAUACUCAUCAAACCAGCUUUUGGGCCUCCUCGAACCAACCCUUGCCUAGAUAUAUAUCCUUAAAAUUGAAAAGAUAGAUUUAGUACAUUUUAUAAAGAUUAGGAAAGAAGCCGAUGUUUAAUUAAUUACUCCUUUGCUGCUUUUUCUUAUUCCCUUGCCUAGCUAUAUAUAUAAUAUUAAAAAUACUACUACAUAUUACUACAAGACAAGAAAUAAACGUAUAGUAGGAUCAUGUGUUUUAGAUUCCAAAUAAGAAACCGUUGAAUUAUAUGAAACUAGCUAGUGUCAUUACAUUCCAAAACCUAAACCGUUAGGAUAUAUAUUAUACACAUGUAUCACUAUGACACUAUGUACGUAUUUACGUAUAGUUUUUUUUUUUGUUUUAAUAUAUAUAUAUAUAUAUAUAUAUGAAUAUAUAGAAAAAAAGGGUACGUACUACUCGCCGAUCACUAUCAAUAAUACGUACAUAGAAAUGGGAGACGUCGCGGAGGUGUCGUCAGAGGUGGUGGUGCGAAACAAGCAUCCAACAUGGCCGUUAAUUGGGAAGAAUAUAGCUAGCUUUAGUAAAAAUUCAUGUUCCUAUACUGGAAUCCUAGGCAAUUAAUUAGCAUGACUGGAAUAUUGACGGCCUAUGUUGGUUUCUAUGAUAUUUGUACGUUCACCAAAGAAAGGAGACUCAGACACCGUGUUCGUGUCUGCGCAGCAUCUGGAGCCAUUGGUCAACUUGUAUGGCAAUUCGCGAAACUACAAGCUAGGUUGUUAUGUUGUCGGAAGUGCUGGCCGGAUCUAAUGAAGUACGUACUACGCAACAACAUGAGAUCGAGUACAUGCAUGGUCGCAUAAUUGCUGCUUGUGGAAUGAUCUCACAAUACAACCUAGAUAAACCCCAAGGCAUUGACAACCUCCACCUCGUAUUCUUAAUAUUGAAACGCGUACGAAUGGAAGGGUUCCUGCAGGUUUCAGAUAAUUAAUUAUCACUCGUACCCUAAGUAAUUUAUUGCCUCCCAUUAAAAAAGGAAAAAUAAAUUAUGUCGAUCGAGGACAUUGUUGAAGGGCUCAAGAAUGCUCCGAGUGCCUUAGUAGGUUUGUUUACGGGCAAAAUUGGACAGAUUUGGAUGAAAAAACUUGCAUCCAUGUAUAAAAGUACCAAUUUAUCCCUAUGUGUUUAUUGUUGCUAUUGCGGUUGAUAAUAUGAGCUAAGAAACAACAAACAAAUAAAGUGCUGCAACUGUUGUGGUUGUUUAUGGCAACACCAGUAUACCAGUAAUGAGUAUUGUAGAGAUGGUAGGGAUAUGGUUUUUGUGUUUGUAAUUAAAAGGCGAACAAAAAGCAGAUAAGACGGUGUAAGUUAUCAAAGAUGAAUUAUGAAGGGUUGAUGGGGGUCUUUUUGUGCAGACUUAUGAAGAGAUGAUGGGGUUCUUUUUGUACAGAUUUAUAUUUUACCGGUGCAUCUAUCUAUGUAAAUAUAUUAUAUCUACUUAUUUGAAAACAAUAAUUGUUUGAUUUUUAUUAA